This 298-nucleotide long non-coding RNA is filed under the name Gallus gallus (chicken). The record is from RNAcentral. Lineage: Eukaryota; Metazoa; Chordata; Aves; Galliformes; Phasianidae.
UGGGCACUGUAACUUGCCAGAGAUCACCGAGAGAUUGGGUCCUCUUGGAAAAGUGUGCAUAACGGACUGGAAGGACCCCAGCAGGGACAACUUGCCACUUAUCAGAUGUUUCUGAAGUCUUUUCUUCCAUGUGAGCGGAGGAAGAGCUCAUCCUGACAACCACCUCCCACUCCAGCAACACUCACCUGUGGGGAGAGAGCUCAUCUCAUGGAUGCUGUCAUUGUGGACUCGACACACCACAAAGCACUGCCAAGCAGCUAAUAAUGUAGUAGUGUGAUGUGUGUAAAUACACAUGGAG